GAGGGGCCCGCACAAGCGGUGGAGCAUGUGGUUUAAUUCGAUGCAACGCGAAGAACCUUACCUGGGCUUGACAUCCCGAGAAUCCCCUGGAAACAGGGGAGUGCCCUUCGGGGAGCUCGGAGACAGGUGCUGCAUGGCUGUCGUCAGCUCGUGUCGUGAGAUGUUGGGUUAAGUCCCGCAACGAGCGCAACCCUUGUCUUUAAUUGCCAUCAUUGAGUUGGGCACUUUAAAGAGACUGCCGGUGUUAAACCGGAGGAAGGUGGGGAUGACGUCAAGUCCUCAUGGCCUUUAUGCCCAGGGCUACACACGUGCUACAAUGGGUGGUACAAAGGGUAGCGAUGCCGCGAGGUGAAGCCAAUCCCAAAAAGCCGUCCACAGUUCGGAUUGGAGUCUGCAACUCGACUCCAUGAAGCCGGAAUCGCUAGUAAUCGUGGAUCAGCAUGCCACGGUGAAUACGUUCCCGGGCCUU
This 469-nucleotide ribosomal RNA is filed under the name uncultured Syntrophus sp. Its description in RNAcentral is "bacterial SSU rRNA". It matches the Rfam family "Bacterial small subunit ribosomal RNA", at positions 915 to 1382 of the family's 1533-position model. Lineage: Bacteria; Pseudomonadati; Thermodesulfobacteriota; Syntrophia; Syntrophales; Syntrophaceae. The record is from RNAcentral.